Molecule: non-coding RNA, 190 nt
Filed under: uncultured Blautia sp.
Lineage: Bacteria; Bacillati; Bacillota; Clostridia; Lachnospirales; Lachnospiraceae
Source: RNAcentral
AAUGUACAAAGGUGCCUGCAUAAAAUGCAGGAGAAUAGGAAAGCUGAGUGGAAAGCUCACACGGUCACGCCGCUGUAAGGGAGGAAUUGUAUUUCUUGCAAGGUUUCUGCAAACCUGCGUCACUGGGAAAUCACCUGGGAAGGCUGAAAUACGAUGAAGAUACCCGAGUCAGAAGACCUGCCUUGUACAC